GACGAACGCUGGCGGCGUGCUUAACACAUGCAAGUCGAACGGAAGGGCCCUGCUUUUGUGGGUUGCUCGAGUGGCGCACGGGUGAGUAACACGUGAGUAACCUGCCCUUGACUUUGGGAUAACUUCAGGGAACUGGGGCUCAUACAGGAUAGGAGCUCCUGCUGCGUGGUGGGGGUUGGAAAGUUUCGGCGGUUGGGGAUGGACUCGCGGGUUCUCCGCUUGUUGGUGGGGUAGUGGCUUACCAAGGCUUUGACGGGUAGCCGGCCUGAGAGGGUGACCGGCGACAUUGGGACUGAGAUACGGCCCAGACUCCUACGGGAGGCAGCAGUGGGGAAUAUUGCACAAUGGGCGGAAGCCUGAUGCAGCAACGCCGCGUGCGGGAUGACGGCCUUCGGGUUGUAAACCGCUUUCGCCUGUGACGAAGCGUGAGUGACGGUAAUGGGUAAAGAAGCACCGGCUAACUACGUG
Molecule: ribosomal RNA, 468 nt
Filed under: uncultured bacterium
Lineage: Bacteria
Description: partial 16S ribosomal RNA
Rfam family: Bacterial small subunit ribosomal RNA
Source: RNAcentral